Molecule: transfer RNA, 65 nt
Filed under: Batrochoglanis aff. villosus LBP2347
Lineage: Eukaryota; Metazoa; Chordata; Actinopteri; Siluriformes; Pseudopimelodidae
Description: tRNA-Cys
Source: RNAcentral
AGCCCCGGCCGAUGUCAUCCGGCGUCUGUGGAUUUGCAAUCCAACAUGUUCUACACCACGAGGCU